UAGGGGCCUCCAGGACCCAUCCCAAGCAUGUGGGACCCACCCUGAUACCCGACUGGCCUAUGGACAACAGCACACAAUCAUCAGGACACAAACAAAGCUGAAGAGCCUGUUUAAUAUGUGAAGAGUACAUCGGUUACUGUAGUCAGCCUGAUCCGGCCCAUAUCCAGACCAGAUGGUGGAUGGUGAACAACCACCUCACAGCCUUUCAUGGUCGGUGAAGACUUCAACGAGACAUGCCCUCAGGACAGAUGCUCUGCGAGAGCUCAGCGACUUGAUGAGCCCUCAGCACAGACCCUUACAGCCAGCUAUGGGGUCAAGCCAGGACCAGCCAGGACCUAUGUGCAGUUUUAUCGAGAAGAACGUUCAUAGUGCUUAAGGCUACAACUCUACCUUCAUUUUUUCCAACCUGCUGAACAGACUACAACUCUUUCCCACCAAAUGCCACCGUGAUGUACCUCGAUCAAUAUCACACCGCAUUCGUUCGCUUAGGCCAGAGGAGAACUGAGCACUGUUAUUGAUCUAAACCAGCACUGAACUGAAUUUUGCUAAAUAAUAACACUACAGUCUUUUAGAGCUAUUUUAAGGCAGAAUUUGAUUUGCUUCCAUAGUUGAGUUUCCAUAAUUGAUUCUGCUCUUUUCCUGUUUUUCUCUGUGAAGCUUGUUUGUCAGAAUCUGUAGUGUAUAAAGCGCUAUAGAAAUAAAGGUGACUUGACUUGCACAA
This is a long non-coding RNA of Cyprinus carpio (common carp), 721 nucleotides long. RefSeq lists it as uncharacterized. The record is from RefSeq and is a predicted model, not a curated record. NCBI's taxonomy places the organism in Eukaryota, Metazoa, Chordata, Actinopteri, Cypriniformes, Cyprinidae. The transcript is spliced from 2 exons.